ACGAACGCUGGCGGCGUGCUUAACACAUGCAAGUCGAGCGGUAAGGCCUCUUCGGGGGUACACGAGCGGCGAACGGGUGAGUAACACGUGGGUGACCUGCCCUCAGCUCUGGGAUAAGCCUGGGAAACUGGGUCUAAUACCGGAUAUGACCUUUCCUCGCAUGGGGUUUGGUGGAAAGUUUUUUCGGCUGGGGAUGGGCCCGCGGCCUAUCAGCUUGUUGGUGGGGUGAUGGCCUACCAAGGCGACGACGGGUAGCCGGCCUGAGAGGGCGACCGGCCACACUGGGACUGAGACACGGCCCAGACUCCUACGGGAGGCAGCAGGGGGGAAUAUUGCGCAAUGGGCGGAAGCCUGACGCAGCGACGCCGCGUGGGGGAUGACGGCCUUCGGGUUGUAAACCUCUUUCGACCCCGACGAAUUUGGACGGUAGGGGUAGAAGAAGCACCGGCCAACUACGUG
RNAcentral lists this ribosomal RNA (459 nucleotides) under uncultured bacterium. Its description in RNAcentral is "partial 16S ribosomal RNA". It matches the Rfam family "Bacterial small subunit ribosomal RNA", at positions 29 to 507 of the family's 1533-position model. The record is from RNAcentral.